UACCACUGUCAGGUGACUACUUAGGUAGCUUUUAAAAAAUGGCGGCAUUGUUCGUUUGGUAAAAUACAGCGUGCUUCGUCACCGUCAUACCCCACUGCCGAUAAAUCCAAAGGGUCCAUGGUCAACGAGUGUUUUGAGGACAAUACUGUAACGGGAAUGAGGACGAGGCAUGGUGGUACACAGAUUGUUCUUCCGAGAUGAUGCAGCAGGAACUCCGGAGACAGCGUGCAGGUUUGGUUAGAUUAUCCUCUGCAUUUGACCCAUCACCAUCACCCCCUGGGAGGAGCAGUGAGCAGCAGCGGUGGCCGCGCCCUGGAAUCAUUUUGGUGAUUUAACCUCCAAUUCCAACCCUUGAUGCUGAGUGCCAAGCAGAGAGGGUUGAAUACAAAGUCUCCCUACUAACACACUAGUGCCUCCAUGGAAAUGCCCCCCUCUUCCUCAAAGAACUACUCCCCACCAAAUCCUCCAUAGGAGACCUCCACUCCUGACAGGCCUACCUCCACCAACCUCCGAGGACAAAGCUACGACCAAUGGGAGACCGGGCUUUCUGCUCCGCCGCUCCCAGUCUGUGGAACGCUCUCCCUGACCACCUGAGUGCACCACAGACUGUGGAUGUUUUUAAAAAAGACUUAAAAAACAUUCUUUAAAAAAAACAUUUUAAAAAGCCUUUUUUUUUAUACAUAAGCAUACUCGUUAUAGCUAAUAGGUUUUUCUAUUUGUUUUUUUAUGUAUUUUUAUUAUCUUUUAUUUUUAUUUAAUUGUUUUAAUACGCUGUAGCACUUUGAGGUUGUUUAAUCAAUGUAAAGUGUUUUUUACAAAUAAAUUAUAUCAUUAUUAUAUAUGUGAUAUAUAAUAUGAUUAUUAUUAUAUUAUAAUAUGAUAUAUUAGUAAUAAAUAUGUUUAUUACUUUUUAAGCGCAUUUUAGAAAGACCCUCCAUUUUGUUGUAUAUGUUGCACAACGACAAUACACCUAUCCAGCAUGUUUGUGUUAUUAACUGGCGGCUUCUGGCACUAUUAAAGGGAUGACCUCUGACCUCCCUAACAAGUAGCAAUCCUCCUCCUACGACACCCCCCACCCGCCCCACAGUCCCCUCCUGUCCUUGAGUCUUUCAAUCCCACAGUGCGUUAAAAGAAAUUAGUCACACACUUAACCACGCACACGCCGCCCAUUGUGGAGUGACUUCUAAAGUGUGUCAAAGAGGUUUCACGGUAGCGUUAAACAGUUCAGGUUGCACACGAGCCCUCCACCUUAGAGCGUGACCCUUAAAAAACAAAGAGAUGGCUCCUGGUGAAUAAUGGACACACACACACACACACCAGUGAUGGCUGUAACAACAAUAAUACUGCGAUGGUGUCCUCUAUAAGUUGCUACUUCACUAUACAUUCCAUGCAUUGCACCAAAAGGUGGUAUUUGUGUCGUACAAUAUCGUAUUUUUCUCUUGUUUUUACAUCAAAAACAAUUAUUUCCAUAAAAGAUUUAAAAAAAAAAAAAAAAAUUCUUCCUUUCUUUGGCAGCGUUCUUUCUGCACAAUGAAAUUAAAUGAAAGCAUGUGUGUAUCUAUUUUUCUGAGGUUUUUGUUGUUGUUUAUACACACACAUAUAUUAAAAAUAUAUUUUCCUCUGAACAAAAACACAGAAAAGAAAAUGAUUGGGAGCAAUUUAAUGAUUUAUGAAGAUGUUUCUCCAAAUAUUGUGGGAAAGCCGCGGAAAUUGUUUGUCUUUAAUUUGAGGAAAAGGAAACUUUGCAAGUUGUGACCGCUUUUUAUUUUUGAUUGGACAGUAAAAUGAAUCUGAAACAAUUUCUGAACAAAUAAAUAAAAUGAACAGCAAGUAUCUCCAUUUUUUAGCUAAAAAACAACAAAAACACAUUGAAAAGUGAAAAGGAAAAUCUCAUAAAACUUGCCCGCUUUUCAUUUGAUCGGGCAGUAAAAAUAUAAAAGUAAAAAAAGUAAUAUCGAUUCACAUCCAAAUUAUUAAUCCCGUUUAUAAAUCAAUUCAUGAUUAUCCAUAAAUCAUAAAAGCAUUUUUAUUUAAAAAAAAAAAAAAAAAAAGUUUUUUAGGUCAUGUCCAUGCAACCAAAAGGAGCUUUUCUAACCUAAAACCUGUUUUGAAAAAAAUGUUAUCAUAAUUUGUAUACCAAAUAAUACAUUUGGUUUAAAUAAAGAACUGUUUUAAUCAAGACUUGACCUCAUAUAAAAAAAAUUUCAUAAGAUAAAAAUAAAAAACAAAGAAUCGAUUCCGAAUCAAAUCAUCACCGACGGAAUUGGAAUAGGAUCGAAUCGUUUGGUGCCCAAAGAUUCAAACUCUUUGUCGCUCUGCAAAGAAAUCCACCCUGUCAGCCAUGUUGUCCUUUUUAGCGCUACCAUGCCAAGUCUUUUUUGGGAUUGGGGAAGAACAGCCAAUGUAUAUCAUACACUUGUGGUAAGAUUUGGACAUUGACAUUUUUAAAUUAAACAUAACAACACAUCUUGGAUCAUGCAGUAAUAUUACAAAAAUAUGAAAAAAAAAAAAAAAACUGACAAAAAAUUAUAUACUUAAAGGACUAAAAAGUCAGCCUUUUUUGCUCCAAGAGAAAAGUCCCUGGAAUGAGCAAAUUACGCUUACUUUAAAUCAUGGUGGUCCAAACUUUUUGAUUUGGGGGCCUAAUUGGGCUAAAAAAAUUUGGUCAUGGGCUGAAA
Nerophis ophidion (straightnose pipefish) is the source of this 2678-nucleotide long non-coding RNA. RefSeq lists it as uncharacterized. The record is from RefSeq and is a predicted model, not a curated record. NCBI's taxonomy places the organism in Eukaryota, Metazoa, Chordata, Actinopteri, Syngnathiformes, Syngnathidae. The transcript has 4 exons.